UUCUAAGUUGCUUUGAGAGAUUGGUGGGUCCUAAGCAUGUGGUUCAUUUGCUCCUCACUUCUGCUUUCCUCAGGAAAUAAGUUCAGCAGCUAAUCUGGUGAUUCACACUGGAAAGCUUAAAGAGCAAAGAGGGAGCUGCUGCAUACACCAAGAUGUCUAGUAGGACAGAAGCAGUAGCGCUUAUUUCUCUGGAUGUGGUUAUUGACUGCAACAGGAACUGCUGAAUCUAAGAGCCCAGCAGUCCUGGCUGACUGGGGAAGUUCCACUUGACUGGAAGCUGGUUAAUGUUACACCCAUCUUCAAGAAGGGUCGGAGGGGAGGACCCAGGAAACUACAGGCCUGUCAGUCUGACCUCAGUGCCAGUCAUGGAACUGUCAUGGAACAGGUCUCAUUUCAGCAUGGACAAAGCAGCUGAACUCAUGUGGCAGCUGGAGGAUUCGCCAGACAAAGAAGAACAGCAAGAACAAAGCCCUGAUGAUGGAGACAAAGCAGAAGUGCUGACACAAACUGCUGACAGCAAGGACAAGUUACUCCAGAGCCAGACACUCCAGUGGGAGACUCUAGGCAGACAGUUUGUAGAAUACGAGCAGGUGGCUCCAUUUCUUGUUCCAGAGGAGCAACAGAGAAGGCUGCUGGACUUUCUUCCCCUUUUCUUGGAGGCCUGGGAAAAAUCUGCUGGAGUUAUUGUAUUCCCCAACAUUCCACUGUUAGCCAGUGAGGUUUCCAAGCUUCUGACAAAAGAAAUUAAGAGGAAUCUCAAUGGCAAACCUGCAGAGGAAGCUCGUCUGGCUUUGGAGCAAUUGCUGCAACAGAAAGGGGAAGCAGGAGAUGGGCGUUUGCUCUUGAAAUCAGUGUAUCUGCUGUCACAAACUGACUUGAGAACUGUGUGGAACAUCAUUGAAUCUGGUCUUCCAGCUGCUCUGUUGCAGUGCCUGUACCUUUUCUUUACUUUUCCCCUGAAGAAGACUCAUGAUGGCAGAGAAACAAUUGAGGAUGACACUCAAACUCAAGAGAUGCUUGUUAAGAUAAUGCUUAACAUGUACAGAGAACAACAAGGUGUAGAGGAACUUCUGGCAGCUGAUAAGCUUCAGUCAUUAAUUAUAGCAACUGCUUCCCUCUGGGACCAGUGUAGCCACUCAUGGAAAGUACCUACAGGCUGUGUGCUGCGAACAAUUGCAAAGGCUCAGACCAAAAACAGCAUUAUGUACCUACAAGCUGUGGACUGCAUUAAAAUAGCUGUUCAGAACCUCUUUAAACUGGCUGAUACCCUACCUGCUUGUGACAUGUGUGAAGCUGCUAGUAUCAUCUUGUGCUUUGUGAAAGAUUCCUAUCCGAUAUCAUCGGCUUUAUUGACAGAGUUUGAAAAUAAUGAUGGCUACCAACUCCUGCUAAAAAUUUUACUCAGGUGUGAGCGGUUGCAGCAAACUGAAGGAGACCCCUAUCUGCAUGAGAUCUUGGACAUGCUGACUUGCCUUACAACCUGUGGAAAAACUGAACUGAAAGUUUCUGGCAAUAUUGUUCACCCACAAUUACCACACUUUACUUUUGAACGGAUACGAUCUUCUGGAAUGACAGUGAAAAACCUCCAGGCUUUCCAGGUGUUACAGUCCAUUUUCCAGAAAAGUAAUGAUCAGCACCUGUGUGGAAGAAUCUUGGUAGCAAUUGGUACCAUUUGGGCCUGGGACACCAUGAACUUCUUUCUUCUGGAAUGGACACUACAACCUAUCAACCAGUUUACUGACAUAAUCCAUUUCAAACCACAUCCAGUCCAAGUCCAGUUCUUCAGACUGGUGGAGUCCAUAGUGCUAGAUCUGUCCUACAUCCCCCAUGAAAUUUUGAAGAAGAUUCAGUAUUUGAUAAAGGAAAAUAUAGUGCCAUUCUGCACCUUAGCAGCUCUACAAUGCCUUCUCAGCAUCACCAAGAAGGACCUAUUAUUCAGUGACAUAUUCCGUGACUCUGGGCUCUUAGGCUUACUUCUGGCACUUUUGAGGAAGCAAGCCAAGAUCCUGAGGAAGUCAGCUGGAACACACCUGUCCGGUCUUGAAGAAGGAACUGAGAAGGAAUUAAAUGCGGUGAUGCUGAAUAUGGUGUCUGCCCUUACAGUGGGGUCUGUGAGGAACAUUGUUAUUCUGAAGGACUAUGGAAUGGUGCCAUAUAUCAAGAUAUUUUUGGAUGAUGAGUGCUACAGGAAUGCUACUCUCAGCAUCUUGGAGCAGCUAUCGGUCAUCAACUAUGAAGAAUAUAUGAGCAUUAUUAUUGGGGCGCUCUGUUCGUCUACUCAAGGGGAACUACAUCUGAAACUAGAUCUACUGAAGUCUCUCCUGAGGAUACUAGAGAGUCCGAAGAGCCAUUCGGCUUUCAGAACCUGCAGUGGAUUCAAUGGACUCCUGUCCCUUCUCUCAGACAUGGAAGGUGCAUUGCAGGAUCCUCCAUCUGGGCUGUGGGCAGCAGUUGGACAGAAUUGCAUAUUAGAACUUGUUUUCUACACGCUUCAGGGGAUAACAGCUGCCCUGCACCUAGACCCUGUCAACAGCUACUUCUUCCAGACUAAUGGUCUCUUUGAAAAGAUGGCAGAAGAUCUUGGGUCACUAGGAUGCUUCUGGACACAAGGGGAAUGGCAAAUCCCUGUAAGAAUUGAGAAGACAAGGACAUUUGCAGAAUUCUUAGAUGCAGCUUUCUGCUCUUCUGAACCUUUCCCAAAGUGGCUAAAGAACUGCAUAUGGAUUCUGAAUUUUCUUGAUCACAUGGUCAAAGGAACCCUUCAUCUGGAGAGCUACAUCAAGGAGAGAAAGCCAGAGAUAGGAGAGGCAUCAAGAGAUGACCAGGAGGGACUCCAAGCUUUUGCUUUCAAAAAAACAGGCAACAAGUUCCCUGCCUCUUCCCACAGGCUAUGGGGAAACCCUGAAGAGAAGUGGGAAAUGGAAGACUGUGCCAUUGUACAUCCAGGUGCUAUCUGUGUUAUGGUGAGGUUGCUGCCAAAGCUGUACAAUGAGGGACACACUGAGCUUUCACAUGAAAUCCAGUGUGCCUUGGUUGAUCAUAUCCAGUCCCUGGUGAAGUCGGAGAAGAGUCGCCAAGUGAUGUGUGGAUCUGGCUUGCUGAGCACCAUCAUAACUUCCUGUCACGAUGCUUUCCGCAAUGACAGUCAUCCACUGCAUCUGCCCCUUACUAGACUGUUUGAGAAGCUUGCAUCACAGGCUAUUGAGCCAAAUGUGUUGAGGCAAUUUCUUUGUCUAGGAGGUUCACCACCACAACCUUCCAGGCCCAGCUCAAGCAAGACUAAGGCUCUUUCAUAUCAGGAGAGUGUUUCAACUAAUGUGGCUUGGACAGAAGGCUCAGAAGAGGGCAUGGCGGACAAUAAAACUGAUCCUCAGACAGUUGCGCCUGUUAGCAGAUCUCCUUGGAUGUCUAAGGGAUCUGCAUUGGCACUCCAGACUGCAAUGAGUCUCGUCUCCAUGACAUCACCUCGAAACUUCCAGCUCCGUGGCACUGCUUUGGCUCCAUCAUUUGUGGAGUUUGACAUGUCCAUGGAAGGAUACGGGUGCUUAUACCUCCCUACCUUGGCCACUGUCAUGGGACCCAGUGCAGAGCAAUCUGUCUCAGGAGGAGUUGGCACGGGCGCCAGAAUGUUCCCUCCCUCAAGUGGCCUGACAGUGUCCUGCUGGUUUCUGGUUAGCAAGUUUGGUUUGAUACACAACAGUCACCCACUCCGUUUCCUCACAGUCGUGAGGCACAUGUCAAGAACAGAGCAAGAAUUUGUUUGCUUUUCAGUAAGCUUCUUACCGCAGGACCGUUCUUUGGUCAUUUCCACAGAAGAAGUGGAAUUCCAGCCGCUCGAUAUCAUGGAACCUGAGGGUGAAGUCCCAAAUCCCUCCCCUUUUCCAGGGCAAGUACAGUUUGGUUGUGGCAAGCUACUGAUCACUGGCCAGUGGCAUCAUCUCACAGUGACACUUGCUAAGGAAGCAAAGAAGAAUUGCAUUGCAUCAGCUUAUAUAAAUGGUCAGACGCUUGGCUCUGCAAAGAUGCAGUAUCUCCAGCCUUUACCAGGCAGCUGUAUUUCCAUGGAACCCUCUUCCUUUAUAGACGUGUAUGGGUACAUAGCUACUCCUCGAAUUUGGAAACAGAAGUCCUCCUUAACCUGGCGCCUUGGCCCUACAUACUUGUUUGAAGAAGCCAUCUCUGUGGAAACCAUAGAGGUGAUUAGUAAGCUUGGCCCACAGUAUUGUAGCAAUUUCCAAGCAGUACAGCUUCAAGGUGAGGACAAAUGUGAUGAUCAUAAUCCUACACCUCUGAUCGCAGAAGAGAAGAUUUCUUUUGGAAUCAAUGCCACGUGCUCAUCUCUCACUACAGUUCAAAAUAUAAAGAGCUCCUACAAUGAAGUGGAUGGCCGGCUGAUUGCCAAAGAGAUUGGGAUUAACUCUCGAGACAGUUCAACUCCAAUAUUCCUAGCUAAGAAUAUUGCUGGACAUCUCUCAGGCUCCUUGCGGUCUAUUGGGUCAGUGGCUGUGGGACAACAUGGGGUAAGAGUGUUCCAGUCCUCUGCAGCAGCUACUAGCCUGAACUUCAUUGGAGGCCCUGCCAUUCUUCUGGGUCUCAUUGCUAUGGCUUGUGAUGACCACACCUUGUACGCAACUGUCAAAGUCCUGAAUUCCGUCCUGAACAGUAGCCCAAUGAGUGAAAAAUUGAUGAGACACAUACAUGGAUACCAGUUGCUGACCUAUCUGUUGAAGAGGAAGACACAGCUUUUAAACAACAGGAUUUUACAGUUAAUGCUGUCCUUAGUGGGCACAGCUGAGCUUGGAUUUGAGUCUUCAGUCAUCAAGAAUUAUAGUGCAUUCCAGUAUGUUCUCUGCAACUUUGAGCUUUGGAUGAAAGCACCAGAGAAUCUUGACCUUGCUCUUUUUUCACAUCUUGUGGAAAUCUUGCAGUCUUCCAGAGAUGGAUGUCAGAAUGCUGCAGUCGCCUACCAGGUGCAAAUGGUGCCCAAAUUAAUGUUCCUCUUCAAUGAUUCUGAAAUCAGUAACUCCAGGAUCACUGUGGUCUGCACUAUUCUCUCUCAUCUGUUGCAAGGAUACUUUAACACAAGGGAUGUUCUCAGGAUUGGGUUGUUCCUUGUUUACACUUUGAAACCUUCUUCUGUGGAUGAAAAUCAGAUUUGCGUGGAUGAUGUGGCUGAGAUGCCCCACGAAGCCUUAAGCCAAACAUCUGGAAAGACAAUCUGGCUUCGAAACCAGUUACUGAAGACGUUGUUAGAUGUAAUGUACUCAGACAAACUUCAUUUGUCCUCUGAGGAACAAGAGGAGGUAUUUUUUGCACUUGGGCCAGACUGGUUUCUGCUGUUCACACAGAGCCACCUACACUCUAGUACGGUUGUUCUAGGAAUCAAGCUACUUCUGUGCUUCCUUCACAAUCGUUUGCUGCUGAACAAAUUCAAGGAGGGCGUAGUGGCUGGACGCUGGCUGGAAAACAGCUCUGCAGGGCUGAGUAUUCUAAUGGAUAAUUUGAAAACUCAGCCCCCAGUGCCUGACAAUGGCUCCUUCUUGAUUUUCGGUUUUUCGGUGUUGCAAAGAUGUCUGACUGAUCAUGUCCACAUCCCUGAGAUCUACUUGCUUGUGGCAGGGCUCUUUCUGGCAACUCCACAGUCUGAACCACCUGAAGCAGCCAAGAAAGAUCUUGAGUCGAUGUUGCAGCAGAUCUUGCAGGACCAUCACAUAGAGAAUGUCCUCAAAAUUGGAUUGUGUGCAGAGGCAGCUACUUUACUACUGGAAAUGGUUAGAAUCACUGUGGACAAGCCUGUUGCAGAUGCAGAAACCUCCUGGGAGAUUACCUAUCCAGGGAACGUUAUCCAGUUUCUGUGCUUGAUCUAUCACAGUUAUACUCAGGACCCCAUGUGGCACGGUCCUGAUUUCUUGAAAACUUUGGCUAUGGUUGCUUUCCAUUCUGAACCACCCAAGGGAGGCUCUGAAGGCCUUUUGUCUCCUGAUGGUCCAGCCAUUACUGAAGGGAAAGGCUGUGCUGAUAUCUCCUCUCUCCCGCUCCUACCACACCCUGCCAAGAAACAAGUGUGGGAUUUUGUGCGCAUCCUCCUGAUGGACAGUCUUCUCAAUAUCCCAGCAAACAAACAAGGACAUCCACUUGAGAUCCUUCUUGAGUCUUCUCCAGAGGAAGCCACCAGUGAGCAAAAGAGACAUUUCCAGACCAAAGUUUUGCUCUCUGCUAUGGACAUCUUCCGUGUUACCAGCCAAGGAGAGAGGAAAACAAGAUCAAGAGGAAGCAGUGAUCCUCAUGGCACUCCAGAAUCAAUUGCACCCAUAACCAUGAUGAAUAUUACUUAUUUUGCCCAGAAGCUGGUUGAGAAGCUGAACAGCAGGAUGUUUACUGCUGACCCUAAGGAAAUCCUGAUCUUCACUACCAAACAGAUUAUAGUGGUCUUAGAGAGCUCUGUCUCUCAGAAGGAAAUUUUCCUCAGUGCCCUCUACAGCUGUCUAAAUAGAGCCAUCCUAUACUGCCUAUCCAGACCACAACAGUCGCUGCCCGAACAAUUGAAUGUCCUGAACACUCUCAAUGUCCUGCAGGAGCAAUGGGACAUUAUUUUUGCAACUUAUAACUCAAAUAAUAAUUUUAUCAUCUGCCUAAUGUAUUGUCUUUGCCAACUAAAUUCGGGCAGCUAUCCAGAAGGCUUUGGGGUGGAUGCAAAGCCAAAGCUGGCUUCAUAUCACCAGAUCUUCUUUGCACCCAGUGAAGAGGAAAAGGGCAACCUGCCUACUCCAGAUGAUGUCCAUCAGGAGAUUCUGAGAACUAUAGAAAUCAUCUGGAAGCAGCUCAUUUCUCAGAGGCGGCAGGCUCUGGAGGACACUUACAAGAUGGAUCUUUCUGUAAAAGGAAAUGACAAAGAAAGGGACAUGAAGAUAACAGAGAUCACUCCUUUAUGGGAAGAAAUUAUGACAAAAGCUUGGCAACACUUGAUAGCAUCUGAAAAGAAGCUUCUGCAGAAUAAAGCAGGGCCAGGCGUGUCACAGAGCAAGCACAGUUCCUGGAGUGAAAGCUUCUCUUCAGCUAUUAGGUUGAUGCCUGGCCGAAAUACAAAGGAAAUGAUAUGCAAAUCUGAGGGAUUUAUAUCAUGCAUGGAAAGGUACCGAAGAACUGGACAGGAGCUGUAUGCCACUUUGUACAAGAACCACAUACAGAUGCUGCAGUGUGGUUACAGCAAAGCAGCCAAAGACUGGAUGAUACUUGAGGAGCAACUUUUCUACAGAAGGGGCCCAUGGGGAGAUGGAUCCCAAUCAUUAGAACCACGAUGGAUUCUUGAUUGUUGUGAAGGGCCUUCACGAAUGAGGAGGAGGAUUCAGCACACGAAAACCCAAGCAACAAUGGUGCGAAUAAAGAGCGAGAUUCUCCUAGCAAACAGAAAUGAAACAACCACCUCUGUUGAAGAGAUUCCAGGGGAGCUGAUAUUAAAUGGAGCAGAAAGGGAGAUGGAUAAGAAGGGAUCGGAUUGUAACCAGCUAACAUUCUUCCCUGCUCUACAUGAAAGUUUCCAUUCAGAAGACUUCUUGGAACUAUGCGUGGAGAGACAAAUUAUAUUGCAGGAAUUUGUAGAGAAUGAAAAGGUCACAUUCAGGUGCUCUGUGGCUGUUGUGCAGGGGCAUACAGCAUUGGAGGGAGUGCUGCUCUUUGGCAGAGAGCACUUUUACAUCUGUGAGUGCUUUGUGUUAUCCCCUCUAGAAGAUAUCUACUGUACACGUCACUGCCUGUCCAGCAUCAGUGAUCCAUUUCUUUUCAACUUAUGUCAUAAAGAUCAUGCUGUGGGAGAUCAGAUGUGUUCCCGUUAUUCAUAUCAUGAUAUAAAAGAGAUUCAUCUGAUGCGCUUCCUUCUGCAGGAGAUCGCCUUGGAAAUAUUCUUCAAAAGUGGUUACUCCAGAUUUCUUGUCUUCCAUAACAGUGACCGAAAUAAGAUAUUUAAGAGAUUUUGCUCUUCCCAACCUGCUUUGAAGUCAAAGGGCAUUACAGAAGAGUCCCUGAACAUAAGGAAACUCUCAGGAGGGGACAAGACAAUGCUCCAGAAGUGGCAGAAGAGGGAGAUCAGCAACUUCGAUUACCUCAUGUACCUGAACACGCUGGCUGGCCGCAGCUACAACGAUUACAUGCAGUACCCUGUGUUUCCAUGGGUCCUUGCUGACUAUCAAUCCAAGAUUCUAAAUCUUACUAAUCCUCACACAUUUCGGGACCUGUCAAAGCCCAUGGGAGCGCAAACUGUGGAGAGGAAAUGCAAGUUCAUCCAGCGCUACAAUGAGGUGGAGAAGAGUGAGGGAGACCUUUCAGCCCAGUGCCAUUACUGCACUCACUAUUCAUCAGCAAUUAUAGUGGCUUCUUACCUGGUUCGACUGGAGCCAUUCACCCAGACCUUCUGUUCUUUGCAGGGCGGGAGUUUUGAUGUUGCAGACAGGAUGUUUCACAGUGUCAAGAGCACAUGGGAAUCUGCAUCAAGAGACAACAUGAGUGACGUCAGGGAACUCAUCCCUGAAUUCUUCUACUUGCCUGAGUUCCUAACCAAUGCAAAUCACUUUGAACUUGGCUGUAUGCAGGAUGGAACAGUGCUGGGAGAUGUGCAGCUUCCUCCCUGGGCAGAUGGAGACCCCCAUAAAUUUAUCCUCCUGCACAGACAGGCACUGGAGAGUGACUACGUCAGUGCACACCUCCAUCACUGGAUAGAUCUGAUUUUUGGUCACAAGCAACAUGGCUCAGCUGCAGUGGAGGCAGUUAACACCUAUCACCCUUACUUCUAUGGAGACAAGAUGGACCUCAACAACAUUAAAGAUCCCCUGAUUAAGAGCACCAUCUUAGGUUUUAUCAGCAACUUUGGACAGAUACCAAAGCAGCUCUUCACAAAACCGCAUCCAUCCAGGAAUGCCCAAGGGAAAAGUCCAUCAGGCAGAGAGACUGUGCUGUCCCUUCACUCAAGUGGAAUUCUUCCUCCGUUUAUAAGCAGCUUGCAAAACCUGAAGCUCUCACCAAUUACAAUAAAAGACUAUCCCAAGGGAGCUAUUGGACACAUUGUUCAUACUGAGAAAGGCAUUCUGGCUGUUGAAAAAAACAAGGUUUUGAUUCCUCCUCUUUGGAACAAAACAUUCUGCUGGGGAUUUGAGGACUUCACCUGUUGCUUUGGCAGCUAUGGGUCUGAGAAGAAUGUGACUACAUUUGAGUGCAUGGCAGACUGGGGAAAGUGCCUCUGCGCUGUGUGUCCUUCAGCAACUACCAUAAUCACAUCUGGAACAAGUUCUGUUGUGUGUGUCUGGGAACUUUCCUUAGUAAAGGACAAAGUGAAGUGCCUAAACUUGAGACAGGCUUUAUACGGGCACGCUCAGGCAGUGACCUGCCUUGCUGCAUCUGUGACCUACAGCAUCUUUGUGAGUGGAUCCGAUGACAGAACCUGCAUCAUUUGGGACCUGAACCAGCUGACGUACAUAAACCAGCUUCCUGCCCACAGGGCAAGCCUCUGUUCUGUUGCCAUAAACAAUUCAACAGGUGAUAUUAUUUCUUGUGCUGGAUCUUACCUAUAUCUGUGGACAGUCAAUGGUCAGCUUCUUGCAAGCGUUAACACCACCUGCAGCCCAAAAAGCCAUAUUGUUUGCUGCUGCUUUGCUGAAGUGAUGGACUGGGACACACGCAGCAUCAUCAUCACAGGAAGCACAGAUGGAGUCGUGAGGCUGUGGAAGACUGAGUACACCAACACCCCAGACCAAACUCCUGGGCUGAGAAUGCAGAGAGAUACAGUGGAAGAGCCAGGGAACAUAGGUAACAAGUGUGGAAAACAUCUUGUUCUCUUUCGGGAGCUGAAUCCCAGCCUUGCCUUGACUGGAAAACCAAGUAAGACCAGUCCAGCAGUUACAGCAGUGGCUGUAUCCAGAAAUUCCUCUAAAAUCCUAGUUGGUGAUGACUGGGGAAGAGUCUGCUGCUGGUCUGUGGAUGGAUAGGAAGAAAUAGUGAAGAAGUCUUGCUUUUUCAGCCUUUGAGAUGGAGUGAAAUUACCCUUCAGAGCAUGAAGGAGUCAGAGAACUGGACGCCUAUGCUUGCGGACUGCAUCACAAAGGAGUUGUUGGACUGACUCUGAUUGAAAUUAGAUAAUGAACUUCAAAGCUGAGAGAGACACACUGACAGACAUGCACAUAGACAAUGAGAUUUUGCAGGUUUUGUGCUGAGAAAAUUUUUGUAUUUAAAAUGUUAUUUUAGAUACUGAUUUGGGCAUAAUAUGUUGUAUUUCACAAAUAAUAGCUCUUAAAUAAAACUACCUUGACUAUGCCAAAGAGCAACGUAGCUUAAUAAAAUCAACAUAUUCUGAUUUUAACCCUAUGGGAUCAGAAAAUGCUAAGGCUCCUGACAGAUGUCGUGGGAGUUUGUUGCAGUAUCUUUGUUCUUAUUAACAUACAAGUAUGUUAACAUCUCCAUUUCUACUCAUCCUCUUUCCAUGAUUCUGCAUGAAAAUGUAUGCAUGCCUUCGGAGAAGCUAUUUGGUUUGCAAAGCAAAGGUAGGAAUUUCUAGGCUGACAGUGAGGAAUUAUUUGGCCUCAUUGUGAACAAGUGUUACAGUACAACCUUGUGUUUUCUAAUCUGACUUGUUUUUUUUCUAUAGUGAGUAGAGCAUGCAAAAUGCAUGGGGCACAGAUGAAGAUUUGACAGAGCUGGUUGAUGUUCUUUCAUUCUCCUCCCUCAAUGCCUUCUUUCCCAGCCUUGUCCUGAUGUUCUCAGGAGUAUCAGUAUACGAGACAUACUUCAGCAUUACCUUCAUAAUCAUUCUGCACAGUAGAAGAUUCUGCUGUCAUCUGAAGUCAGUUACAAAUGGAAAAUGUUUUAAAAUAAUGGAAUUUUGUGCAGAAUGAGAAAUUCAAUUCCCAUCUAUUGAGAAGUACCAAAUAAACACAUCCUUGAAUCGUUCUCUAGCAAGCAAUAAAUCCUACACAGACUGAGAGAACUUCUCUCACCAAAAAAAAAGAGCUGAUCCUGAAAUACUUUGUGCAGCUGCUGCUGCUGCAAGUGGUGUCAUCAAAGUCAGUUGUUCCGUACAUGUAAGUAAAGGCCAUUUGCAGGGCUGACUGCAGGACUGUAAUCUUUGCACUUGAUGAUUCACAAUUGAAAUACUCCACUGUUGACUACACAGCAAAUUUUCUGCUUUCAUUGAAUUCUCUGGUGUAAUGAUUUAAAAGGACUUGCUGUGGUCUCAGCCUGAUUUUGUAUGUAACAGAUCUAAAAAUCACACAUUUCUUUUCUGUAUUCAUGUGCUAGGACUGAACUAAACCACAAUGCUUAGAAAGACAUCUGUCCUGGCCUUGGCUUAAGAGCUAAAAAACCUCUUGGUCAACUGCUCUGAUAAUUAUUUAAUUUUUAUGUUACCCUUCUUUCUAGCCUGACAGUAUUAGCCUCAGUUCGUAGGCAUUUAAGUUGAUUUUGCUUUUUAUGAUAUAUUAAAGAUUCCCUUUGAGAUUUCAAUAGUAUAUGUGCCCAUUGCUUCAGUAGGUAGAACAGAUACUAAAUAUGGGAGCUAUGUUGAGGCUGGACAUCACAAUAACACCAGCAAAUGUUGAAGAUUUUAUUCUUAGCGUAUGAUAGCAUAUCUAAUCUCUAUUUGAAGGUAUUGGAAGCUUUGCUGCCAGCUUCAGUGGGUGUCACCUCAAACCCUCAACCCAGAAUAAUACACUGCAUGCGAAAAGCCUCCUAAAAAUGAAUCUGAUGAAACUUUUCAAACACGCCAGUCGCUGCCAGAGUAAAACUCUACAUUUCCGAAGACUGACCCAGUGCAUCUUUUGAAGUAGAGCUAUUUCCACUGUUCUGCAGAAAUCAGUUGCUCGGGGCACACUAAAUCUGUAUAUGCUUUCCACUUCGCUGUUUAAUUGCAUUUCAUGUUAUGUUUCCAUUUAGGAAAUGCUGCAUGUCCUAAAAUAGCCACCCCAACGCCCGGCUCAUGUAAAUUUUAGAACUAAGAUUUAUGAAAUCAUAUUGUCCAGGUGUUUUAUUAUAUUAUCUCAAAAUUGCAUUGUUUUUCAGUGUAGAUUAUCUCUUUAUUCUUACUUUAUUCUAUUAUGUUUGGAUAUGAAAAAUAACACCAGAUUCCCCAAAACAGGUCAUUGGGCAGUAGUGGCUGAUGUGUUGCUUUCAUACAUUUUUAUGAUGUUCCUAUAGUAAACAUAAUUUAAUAAAGCCAAAACACACUAAAUAAAUAAUUGCAUCUAGAAAAGCAAUAAAACCAAAUAAAAUUAGUACAUUCAUAAGUGGAAAAGGUACUUCAAUUACUGCUACAAGCAACAGCACACCAUAAAAUGUGUAGAAUAAUUUCCCUUAUGCAUAUUUCUAGUAUGUAAUAAUUUGAUUGAAAAUAUGAGGAAACACACAGGAGGUUCAAAAUUGUGAAGGGUAUACAGUUUUCAGCAAAGGAUGCGUAAUAACAGCGCAUGGAAGCCAACACUACUUUAAAGUACCUAUGGUAGCCAGCGUUUUAUUCCAUACGCUCUUCUGUACUUCAUUUAUCAACCACACGUGUAAUUUAAUUUUGCUGGUUUGUUUAUCCAAAACCAAUUUUUUUUCAAACAGGCAGGGAAAGAAAACUCAUUCUACAAUUUCAUCUCUUGUUUGGAUUGGAUAGCAUUUUGGCAAUGUAAACCUGGAGUCCUGCCACCACCUCCUUUUUGGAACAAUAGUGUGACUUGAGUCACUGAUGUUAUAGGUGAGACUGAUACUGGAGCAGAAGAGUAGGAGACAAGGAAUGACUGGUCAUUCACCUCUCUCAUUCCAUCCUGGCUCUUCAUUUAGCAGUACUUUGAGAUUUCUAUGGCUAUAACAUCCUUUUCUGAAAAAUUGCAUCAUUGUUCUAAAAUAAUAUUGAAAUUAUUCCUUCAAAUAGGAUUCUGUUCCAAAGUGACAUUUCUAGAUACAGUCUCUAUCUUGUAUGUGUGUUUUCUCAUCUUGGGAUCACAUAUUUUGCAGUAAUAUAAACUAGGAAGUCAUAAUUUUCCAGCAUAUCUUCUGCCAAAUGCAAAAUGACUCCUCUUCCAUAUUUCUUCUAGUUUAAUUUUAGUUUAUUCCAGUCACAGGGCUUCCCAUGGGCAACUAUUCAAGAGUUCACUUAUAGGAACAUUUCUUAAUAAACAAUCUGCAAAGUCUAUCAUGUGAAUAUUUAAAAGUAACUAAAAUAUGCGUAUACAUAGUUUGGGUUUUAUUUGGUUUGUCCAGUAUAGAAAUGUGUUAGAAAUUAUCUACAAGAGUUGGAGUUUUAAUGAAAAUUACUCUGAUUUUUAUGUCAUAAUUACCAGGAACGUCAAUUUUGCUUUUCCUAGCCUUAGCUGGUUUGUUUCUUGGAAGCCUCAAGGAUGUUUAUACUGUGAGCACUGUCAGACUGAAAGUUUUAACUAAGACCACUUUUAUCCCAAUUUUAGAUAUGAAGAAAACAAGGAAGUAACAACCUCAUAAAUUUAACUUGUUUUGAAAAAUCAACUGUUGCCAACUUGCACUUAUGGAUUGCUGCAAUCUCACUGUUCCAUGGCCACACCAGUUAUCACAAAGACAAAAUUAAUUUGAAUUUCUUAUUUAAAAAAUAAACAUUCUCCUGAUUCUAGUUUACUAUCAAAAAUAAGCAGAGAACAGCUCACUUCCCAGUUCACUUAAUAUUUUAGUGACUCCUGAUGCAGACAUCCACCUAAGAAUUCAGCGCCUAUCUGAUUGCACGUUAUGGUAGUUUUUGUUUGGGAUAUGAUGCAGAAUGACUUUAACAAGGGACAGGGCAAGAAAAUUAUGCUUAUGGACCAAACUGAAUUUUCAUGCCUGAGUUUUCUGGAUUAUGUCUGAAGUUCCAGUCAGAGCUUCGUAAUAUUUCUAGUAACUCUGAUUCAGUGCAGCAACGCUUGAAAAUGAACCCCUACCCUCACUGGCCUAACCUUGCCGAUUAUGCAUGUGUUUGCUGUUUUGAUGGCCAGGGCAUUGCAAAUUGCCUCCUCUGGAGUGGCUACACUGUGCUGUUAGGCGCACACUGCAGUGCCGGGGGGACGCUGUAGGAAAUGCAAAUGGAAAAGGUACAGAGUCAAAAGACAGUGGUGAAGUUUGUUUGAUCCAGUCUCUAGGAACUGCACUUCUCUUCGGGGGGCUCCACAGCACACAGAAAGCCACCCUGCCCCAGUGCCAUGAAGUAGCUCUUCCUUAGCAAGCACAUGCUGGAACUAUCAUUUUCUUCUUUUUCUUGCAAAGGCCAGGCUCAGAUCUUUGGCCUUUUCCCUUUCAUAUUUGAGAAACAUCCUGUUUUGCAGUCACACUCAGUAGAGAGCUCCACAGGAAAAACAUGGAUACUGUCCAGAUGGCACAACUCAGGAGCAUCCUGUAUCAUCGCCUGAGCCCACUCAGUCAGAAUGUGUCUAGACAGCACUCUCCCGGCCAACUGGAAGGUCUUUGGUAACAGGGACAGAUUGUUGCUUCUCUCUGCAUGAAUGCCCAGAUGGAAGGAAACUGCAGACGCUGUGCAGCCUGAGAAAAAGAGGGAAAGGGGCUUGGCCCAUCUUCUCUUCUGCACAUCUCCUUUUU
This is an RNA transcript of Cuculus canorus (common cuckoo), 14559 nucleotides long. It is a transcript of the gene named WDFY family member 4, with no coding region annotated. Lineage: Eukaryota; Metazoa; Chordata; Aves; Cuculiformes; Cuculidae. The transcript has 65 exons. The record is from RefSeq and is a predicted model, not a curated record.